RNAcentral lists this long non-coding RNA (1473 nucleotides) under Oryza sativa Indica Group (long-grained rice). Its description in RNAcentral is "lncRNA OsMH63_04G012300". The record is from RNAcentral. Lineage: Eukaryota; Viridiplantae; Streptophyta; Magnoliopsida; Poales; Poaceae.
UAUGCUCUUCAGUUGCGGAACUCUUUUCAGAAGUCCCUUCCCAUCUGUCCUGGUUGUGACCAAGACAAAUAUAUUGGUCAGCUGCUAGACAAUGCUGAUAGCGGCACGAAUGAUGAUGAUGAUCCCUUUCCCGAGCCCCUUGUUCUCUCCAUUGCCCUAUGUUCAAUGCCAAGUGCCCUUCGCUUAUUCUGGGAUAAUGACACUAUCUGUAUUGUUAUGAACGAGUGGGUUCUCGUACGUGCCUACCAGUUACCUAAGGCAUUGGAGAUCUUGGAGAUUGAACUUGGCUUGGUGUAUGAUUAUAUCUACACUAAGGCCGUGGUGUUUCAGACAAGACGUGGCAUUGCACUUCGAUGUAUCUCACAGGCAUCCUUUCUAGCCGUUUUUCUGCUCUUCCUUGUAAGCAAUAUACAGAGGCACAAUUCAAUUAACACUGUAAUCACAUAUGCACUGUUUGUCGGUGAUUUUGCGAUUAGAAGAAGGGUGUGGUGGUCGAAUUCCAUGGGGCAGUACAAACAGCGUAACCAUUUGGCAAAGUAUGAUGAAGAAGAGAAGCGAUCAAGAAGCUGGUCAUGGAAACGAGGAGUAGUGGGGGGCAAGAUCAGAAAGGUUGUGGAUGCUGUUUGUGGGGAGAAGGUGAAGUUUUGGAUUAGUAAGCAGUUGGACAUCAAUUUUGCCAAGGUGGAUAAGGAGAUCAUACGGUGCAUCUUCAACAAGGUUGUCGAGUGUGCUGCUGAGGCUCAUCAAAGCCAAAAUAGUUUGCCGGCCCAGGAAUGGUCAAAUCUUAGUGUGCUGCUGAAAAAUCUCUUGGAGACUCCUGAUGGCACUCUUAGUUGGGAAACCAUCGUAGUGUUGCAUGUAUACACAAAGGUACAGCUGAAGUUGUUUUCCCAUGCGAGUCCCAGUGAAUCGACCAGUGCGGCUUUGGUGGAAUUGGUGCACAAGCUAUCCAACUACAUGCUUUACCUUUUGGCCACGCAGCACGAGAUGUUGCCGGUCAGUAAAAGCACUAGUGAAAGCAAUAGGGGAGUCGGAAGCCACUUUGCUAAGAUCGAUAUUGAAGCAGCUGAGACCGAGAUGCUGACAAACACGGGAGUGCAACUUCUCGGGUCCUGCACAAAAGAACAACUGCUGGAGACCAAGCAGGCGUGGCUAAGGCUCCUCAUCUUCUUCGCUGGGAAGUCGCGGCCAGAGAUGCACACGGCGCAGCUGGCCGCAGGAGGCGAGCUCCUUACCUUUGUCUGGUUGUUCAUGGCCUUCAAAGAUAUCGGGGCUUCCGUCAUCUCCCGGAUCGAGAUAAGUGAUCUCCGAGUUCAUAUCCCUAGGCCUAGUUUAGUACUCUUCCGUCUCGGUCCCACUCUACACCAACCAGCAGCAGAUCACACGGCCGACAACAGUAGUGAUCAGCUCAAGGAAGAAGAAGGGCAUCAUCAAAAUGAAAUCUCUCAUGCUUACACUAUAGUGGCCCGCUAA